RNAcentral lists this ribosomal RNA (373 nucleotides) under uncultured organism. RNAcentral describes it as "partial 16S ribosomal RNA". It matches the Rfam family "Bacterial small subunit ribosomal RNA", at positions 527 to 896 of the family's 1533-position model. The record is from RNAcentral.
GUAGGUGGCAAGCGUUGUCCGGAAUUAUUGGGCGUAAAGCGCGCGCAGGCGGUUUUUUAAGUCUGAUGUGAAAGCCCACGGCUCAACCGUGGAGGGUCAUUGGAAACUGGAGAACUUGAGUACAGAAGAGGAAAGCGGAAUUCCACGUGUAGCGGUGAAAUGCGUAGAGAUGUGGAGGAACACCAGUGGCGAAGGCGGCUUUCUGGUCUGUAACUGACGCUGAGGCGCGAAAGCGUGGGGAGCAAACAGGGAUUAGAUACCCUGGUAGUCCACGCCGUAAACGAUGAGUGCUAAGUGUUAGGGGGUUUCCCGCCCCUUAGUGCUGCAGCUAACGCAUUGAGCACUCCGCCUGGGGAGUACGGCCGCAAGGCUG